AAUCAUCAACUCUUAUUUCUUUUUCGGAGAUGAGAGCUUGGACUUGGAGGUCUUUGCUGGCUUUUUGAGCCGGCUCCUCUUGAAUGCAUUAGCUUGAACCUUUGCUGUAUCGGCCUCGGUGUGAUAAUUGUCUACGCCGUGGCUGUGAGGCUUACUUUAACUGGGCUCAGCUUCCAACCGUCUGCUUGCGGACAACAUCUCAUUGAC
This 207-nucleotide unclassified non-coding RNA is filed under the name Cyanosporus cyanescens. RNAcentral's name for it is "partial internal transcribed spacer 2". The record is from RNAcentral. Lineage: Eukaryota; Fungi; Basidiomycota; Agaricomycetes; Polyporales; Postiaceae.